RNAcentral lists this small RNA (554 nucleotides) under Histoplasma capsulatum. Its description in RNAcentral is "hypothetical RNA". The record is from RNAcentral. Lineage: Eukaryota; Fungi; Ascomycota; Eurotiomycetes; Onygenales; Ajellomycetaceae. RNAcentral also lists the same sequence under 1 other name.
ACAAAGCGCUGGAGCCGGAACCGGCUGUUCACGAAGUAGGACAAGGGGCGGACAAUGUGGGGAAGAAGCGGAAGCGGAAGAAUAAGAAUAAGAAUAAGAUUUCAUUUCUUGUUGCUCUUUUCUCAUCGUAUUUUACUUUAUUUUUGUUUUCCCCCGCAUUUUGAAAAUAGCAUCUUUCUUGACACAAUAACAAAUAUGAAAACGAUACACAUUACCACCACCAGAUGAGACAUCGAUAUGCACAUCACGUUCCGCAAGGAUUAAAAGGGGAAAAAAAAAAUAGAAAGAAAACGAAAGAAAGAAAGAGGACAGCGAAGAAAAUGCUCAAAAUAUACGAUUGAGAUUUACUCAAACGUUGCGCGUUGCGGGGAUAGAAAAGGGUCUGUUCGUACAGUACAUGUAGAUUUGGGAGAUCGGAGAACAAUGGGGAGUUGGUGACAGAUUAUUGAAAACACGGAGCAACAUUGCAUAUGUGUUGAAAGCGAUGGAGAAGAAUUUGAAAAGGGGUGCGUUGCGCAACAUUAAGAACAAUAAAUAAGAAUGAAAAUAGGGGU